GAUGAAGAACGCAGCGAAAUGCGAUAAGUAAUGUGAAUUGCAGAAUUCAGUGAAUCAUCGAAUCUUUGAACGCACCUUGCGCCCUUUGGCCAUUCCGAAGGGCAUGCCUGUUUGAGUAUCAUGAACACCUCAACUCUCAUGGCUUGCCAUGAUGAGCUUGGACUUUGGGGGUCUUGCUGGCCUGUGGUCGGCUCCUCUCAAAUGAAUCAGCUUGCCAGUGUUUGGUGGCAUCACAAGUGUGAUAACUAUCUGCGCUCGUGGUUUCCAUCAGAUAACCUCCAGUGAUGGAGGUUCGCUGGAGCUCAUAAAUGUCUCUCCUAAGCGAGGACAGCUCUUUUAAUGUUUGAUCUCAAAUCAGGUAGGACUACCCGCUGAACUUAAGCAUAUCAAUAAGCGGAGGA
This 401-nucleotide unclassified non-coding RNA is filed under the name soil metagenome. RNAcentral's name for it is "partial contains 5.8S ribosomal RNA, internal transcribed spacer 2, and large subunit ribosomal RNA". The stretch from base 1 to 121 matches the Rfam family "5.8S ribosomal RNA", at positions 35 to 154 of the family's 154-position model. The record is from RNAcentral.